RNAcentral lists this ribosomal RNA (489 nucleotides) under uncultured bacterium. Its description in RNAcentral is "partial 16S ribosomal RNA". It matches the Rfam family "Bacterial small subunit ribosomal RNA", at positions 29 to 507 of the family's 1533-position model. The record is from RNAcentral.
AUGCACGCUAGCUACAGGCUUAACACAUGCAAGUCGCGGGGCAGCAUGGGGGUUGCUUGCAACCCCUGAUGGCGACCGGCGCACGGGUGAGUAACGCGUAUCCAACCUGCCCUUCACCACGGGAUAACCCGGCGAAAGUCGGACUAAUACCGUAUGUUGUCCAUUGACGGCAUCCGAUUUGGACGAAAGGCUUGGCGGUGAAGGAUGGGGAUGCGUCCGAUUAGCUUGACGGCGGGGUAACGGCCCACCGUGGCUACGAUCGGUAGGGGUUCUGAGAGGAAGGUCCCCCACACUGGAACUGAGACACGGUCCAGACUCCUACGGGAGGCAGCAGUGAGGAAUAUUGGUCAAUGGGCGUAAGCCUGAACCAGCCAAGUAGCGUGCAGGAGGACGGCCCUAUGGGUUGUAAACUGCUUUUAUGCGGGGAUAAAGUGGCCCACGGGUGGGCUUUUGCAGGUACCGCAUGAAUAAGGACCGGCUAAUUCCGUG